Rhinopithecus roxellana (golden snub-nosed monkey) is the source of this 2947-nucleotide RNA transcript. RefSeq lists it as uncharacterized. The transcript is spliced from 8 exons. Lineage: Eukaryota; Metazoa; Chordata; Mammalia; Primates; Cercopithecidae. The record is from RefSeq and is a predicted model, not a curated record.
AUGGUGUGUUCUGAUGCCUGUAACAGAUGUCAAGAAAACGAUAACCUUCAAUCAGGGAAAGAGGGAGGUACCGUAAAGGGUGUGGUCGGGGGAGGACAAAACCGGAGAGCUCAGAAGAAUCACUGCCCUGAUCCCUUCCGCGCUGGCAGCUGCGAGGACAGAGGCCCCUUUGUAUCCUGCGGUGCGGAGGUGGAACAGAGGAGAGGGUGCCCCGGACUGGCCCCCACCCUCGCCCUGCAGCGCUGCCCCUCCUUUCACAGCAACCCACGGCCUCCCCCUCGCUUGACCCAGCUGGCGAGCUGCCCCUUAUACCUGGAUCCGCCUCUCGGGACGCAGCUCCCCAGGCCCGAUCACCGAGCGGUGCCUAGGAACUGGGAGCGUAACUCAGCUCGGCUCAGAACCUUACCCGAGAGCCAAAGAACACUGAACUCAUCUACAUGCUGCUUGACAUCUUAUCUGCAUACCAAGCUAUUUGGUGGACGUCCACAUGCGCCCCCGACUCCCGUUCCACUAGCAAAAGCCCCUUCCCUGGGUCCACGAUCCCGACCACCCGGCUCUCCAGGAGACAAUACUCCAAUUCUCUGGGAAGUGGAAGAAACCAAGCUGGAACUAGGGGGGCGCUGGGACCCCUAUUGGGGCUUUGAGAGCUUCCGGUUGUCAUCUCCUAAGUAUUCGGAGACCCUUCUCCAAAACUCUUGGGGAAAGAGUUUAGGCAGCAACAAACAGAGUGGCCCUGGGGGUGCCCUCGACCGACAGCCGACCCCUCGGCGUCUAGGACCUCCGAGCGGGGAUGCAGCUGGGGGUCUAGGGAAGCACUUCCACCCGCUCCUCCUCAACCCUGGCAGGGUGGAUCUGAAUUCAAAUCCCACUGGCAGCCCUGAUACUGCUGGGGGAAGGGUAAGGCUACCGCUGCUUCAAGACAGUGAUGUUUCUCUCCGGUCUGCUGUCAGGAGCUUUCUACUGUGCCACAAGGUGCGGGUGCUGGAGACACAGCUGAGCCUGGAAAUGAGAGUAGGCAUGGCUGUGGUCAUCACCACAGCACUCUCUACGUAGACCACUCCUCUACGGCGUGGUCACCAUGCUGGUUCACUGUUUUGGGCUCUUAUUAACUGGUCUCCUGCUAGGCCUGACCUUGGGUGCUGGAGUCCUGCUCUCCACUGAGCCUAUCUGCCAACCACCUUCAGCAUGGGUGCCAGCUGGGGGACUGGGGGGCCGGCGCUGCUGGGAACCCUGCUCACACUUGGGUGGUCACGUCCAUUCACAGUUCUGGGCACAGCCCUGCUGGGUUCUGCAGUGUUUGUGGCCUAUGCUGACUUAAUUCCUGGAGGAGCUGGCACUGGGCAGUCGGCUGGGCCAAUGCCUGUAGACACUUCCACCCUUGUCUUCUCUCUGCUGAUAUAGCUGGAUCUUCCUGGGGAUUUGGCCAGUCUUGGGGGCCCUGGUCCAGUGGAAGCUCGUGCCUGAGGAACAUGGAGGCCAUACCAAUGGUGAGUUAGUGCUGUGGUACAGAAGCAAGGUCAUGCCUGAGGAACAUGGAGGCCACACCAAUGAGUCUUCAAGAGUGCCAACUGGGACCAGGACCCCAGGCCACAGCCCCCUACACCGUCCUGGACCUGGAUUCUGACUGUGGUUCCACUGUACCCCUUACCUUAAUCUCUGGUUCUAACCAGACCUGAGCCUAGACUUCCACUUUUGCCCUCACCCCUGUGAGGGCCUGGGAACACUAGGUGGACAGGGUUUGAGUCACAGGACCUGCACAUAAACUUCCCCACCUCUUGGACUUGGGGAUAGGAUCUGUGCCUCAACCCAGACCAGCCUUGUAGGGAUAUGUUCCAAGAACAGAGAAGAGUCUUAUGGGGAAGGGGGAAGAAGGAAAGUAUGAAUAUUUACCUCUGACCAAUAAUAGAGGUACCCUGGUCCCCAAAGAAACUGACUACCGAAUUCCCUCCAAGCCUUACCUAUAUAGCCUUUUUUUUUUUUUUUUUUUUUUUUUGAGACAAGGUCUUGUUCUGUCCAGUGCCGUGGCGUGAUCAUAGCUCAUGACAAUCUUGACCUCCCCAGCCCAAGCAAGCCUCCCAUUCAGCCUCCCGAGUGGCUGGGACCACAGGCGCCACACACAGCUAAUUUUUAUUCAUUUGUUUUUAUUUAUUUAUUUAUUUAUUUUUUUUUUUUUUGCAGAGAUAGGGUCUCCCUAUGUUGCCCAAGCUGGUCUUGAACUCCUGGGCUCAAGUGAUCCUCCUGCUUCAGCCUCCCAAAAUGCUAGGAUUAUAGCCACCGUACCUGGUCUUGAAAUAGCCUUUUAAAUAUCCACCUCAGCAUGCCUCACAGUGGUAAAAACAAGCGGUUUUUGUUUUGUAGGAUCAGGGAGCUUCUAAGGCAUUUGAUAGCUUUUUGAUGGGAAGAAGGGCUCUGAGGAGCUCCAAGAUACCCCAACCUCCAGGUACUUCAUUAGGGGGUAGUUGGGUUUGUUUGACCUUCCCCCUGGGCCCCAUAGGCUUAAACCCCCACCUCCUACCUCAGCUAGGAGCACUAUCUUCCAUGGUGCUUCCACUUUUCUCCUCAACCUGGGGAAGACCACAGGGCAGUGCCUGCCUCAGGACCUGCCUUCCCCAAAAGCUGGCUUCUUGCUCUGAGGAGAGAGCAUUGGCCCACCUGCCAGAGUCUUGCGUUUUGCCCAAAGGAGCCUGGUCUUCAGGGCUGCAUAGGAGACAAAUGCUUUCUCUGCUUCUCACUGUGGGUGGCACUAAUUUCCUCCUUAACCAGAACUUUGUUCCAGCCACUAACCCAUUCUAACUCUUCCCCCUCUGACUCUCCUGCCCAAGGUCUGUUCCUGGUUUCCCAGAUGCAUAAAGGAAGACAUAUCCCUCCCCUGGGCAGCAAGGCUACAAUGGGAGGGAGGGAGAACAUGGGAGCAUGUGAAUAAAAUGGCAUUAAAUACUGAACCAGG